AGCUUUCUGAAUCUGUACUGAAACUUCAUCAGACACCAAUGCACCGGAGCUGAUAAAACUCUAAAGAUAAGUGAAGUA
This is a non-coding RNA of Schistosoma mattheei, 78 nucleotides long. Lineage: Eukaryota; Metazoa; Platyhelminthes; Trematoda; Strigeidida; Schistosomatidae. The record is from Rfam.